RNAcentral lists this ribosomal RNA (3088 nucleotides) under Ambystoma mexicanum (axolotl). RNAcentral describes it as "eukaryotic LSU rRNA". It matches the Rfam family "Eukaryotic large subunit ribosomal RNA", at positions 1466 to 3401 of the family's 3401-position model. Lineage: Eukaryota; Metazoa; Chordata; Amphibia; Caudata; Ambystomatidae. The record is from RNAcentral.
CAUAUAGUAGUGGGAAGAUGGGAUGGAAAGGGAGGGGAAGUGUAUCCGUGCAUACUACGCCAAUUCGCGGGGUCCUCCUCAGGUGACUAGAUUGUAUGGUGACUGCAGGCAGCCUUUGUUACUGCACUAUAGAUCCUAAAGCGACCUGUUUGUGUGGUGAAUGCUGGCUGCCUCAAUUGAAGAUAGGGAGUCGAUUGCACUAGACAUAAGCAUUCUGGCAUAGGGUGUACUAGGCUUGUGUGUGGUAAGCACCUAGCACCUGCGAUGUAUGGCUGGACAUGUGAUCAUGCAUUUCCGAUAUUGUGGCCAUUGCGCAUAUUACUGAUUACUAUUACUGCAUUGUACUAUGAUGUAUUGGUUCUGUGUACGUGAUAGACUGCUGGGAGCAGGGGCAAUGUUCUGAAGAUUUUGUGGUUUGGUUGGCAGUAGAAAAAUGCUAUGUGGGUGGAAGUGGGUAGAGGUGCUGGAGGCUGUGUUAUGUUUGUGGAUUUUGCUAACUACCUACAUGUUUUGAGAAAGAAGGAUCCGCGCCUUGAGAAGCGUUGCAGUUCUGGCAGCGUCCGGUCAGCUCUUGCUGGUCCUUGCAGAUCCAGGGGAGAUUGUGUAAUUCUUGUGCAGGGCUAUACCCAUAUUAGCAGCAGGACUCCAAGGUGAACAGCCUCAGGCAUAUUGGAACAAUGUAGGUAAGGGAAGUCGGCAAGUCAGAUCCAUAACUUCAGGAUAAGGAUUGGCUCUAAGUGCUGGGUUGGUUGGGCUGGUGGUGUGAAGCGGGGCUGGGUGCGUACCAUGGCUGGAUGAGGCAUCUCCCCCCCAGGGCAGCACUGACUUGAGAUGGGAGCCAGACCUUUCCUGUGGAUCGCCCAAUCUGUGAUGGGCGCCUCUCUCCAUUCCUCUGCCGUGGUUCGGGCCGGCAUUCUGCCUUGGCCGACACCUUACAACUGGUGCGGACCAGGGCAAUACGACUGUUUUAUUUAAACAAAUCACCACUAAGGACCACAGUGGGUGUUGACAUGAUGUGAUUUCUGCCCAGUACUCGACUGUCAAAGUGAAGAAAUUCAAUGAAGCGUGGGUAAACGGCAGCAGUAACUAUGACUCUCUUAACCUUUCUUAGUCAUGGUGGCCCCUACCUCUGCGUGGUACCGCUGUUAACUAUCCCUGUUGACUGAGUCCUGUCUACGAGGAGUCUGUUUGGGCAUAGACAAAAAGGGUAUAACAUCUCCACCUAUUCUGACCAUGGUCUGGUAGCUAGGUGUGCUAAGAGAAAUGGUGCAUCAAAACCAACCCAUUCCAGAUGAGGUAUUCCCUGGUUUAAACACAACCUUGUUAGGAAGACGUGGUUGCUUCCUUUCACAAAACCAAACCCUGCACUUGUAUUGACAGACUAAGAUCAAGAUUGAGCUGAGAGAGAAGGAAGACACAGAUGGGCAUCGUAUAUCACUUACAAGGCAUGCUCAGCAAUCCAGUCUAGCUGGUGAUCCAUAAGGCGUCAAGAUCUCAGGCUGGAGGCAUGAAGAGAUCGACAGAUGACUGCCCAGAGAUGGCCUUGCUAUCGAGAGAAGACUGCCAACAUUCAUGAAUCAGAUAGAGCACUCCAGGUUGCCUGUCGGACGUAGGAUGUGUGACGAGCUCCAUAGUCUGGACGGUUACUGAACGUCACAACCAUGUCGGGGUAACUGCACCCCUAAUCCAUGCUCUCUUGAGACCCACUCCUAAAUUGAUUCUGUUGAGUAAUCCAGAAUCAGACUCUGAUCUAUUAUCCCUUAUGGUUGUUUUGGACCGUGACUCCAACAGUGUCCCUGGACUCCAAUAUUGUGGACUUAUGCAAAUGUUUAAUUGUGUAUAUAUGUAAAUGUUAUGAGAUGUCUCAAGUGAUUUAUUGUAACAUAUAUGUUCAACUGUUGUAUGUACUGCACCAGGUAUGCUUGUAGUAUGCUUUGGUGUUGUGCAUGAUUAUGCCCUCAUCUUGUUAAAAAACAAUAAAAAUGUCAGCUGACGGGCAGCCAUUAACCCGGAAUGAGCCACUCCGGUGGUCAAAAAUAGCCAAAUCCCUUGUCAUCUAAUUAGUGAUGUGCAUGAACAGAUGAACGAGAUACCCACUGUCCCUAUCUACUAUCUAGCAAAACCACAUCCGCAGGAACAGGCUUGGCAGACUCAGCAAGGAAAGAUGACCACAUGGAGCACUUAUUGCUUUUUCACUUACCCAGUGAGGCAGGGAGGCGAGCCGCGUGGGGUUCUCUCUUCUGGCUCUAAGAGCCCUCACUCACUGUGCGUGACUGGGGACAGUGGCAGGUUGGGAUUUUGACUGGGGUCAAACGAUAACACAGGUGUCCUAAAGUGAGCUGAGGGAGGACAGAAACCUCCCAUGGAGCACAAGGGCAAAAUAUCGCUUGAUCUUGAUUUUCAGUAUGAAUACAGACCAGGAAAGCAGAGCCUUGCAAUCCUUCUGACCUUUUGGGUUUCAAGCAGAAGGUGUCCGAAAAGUUACCAAUGUGAUAACUUACUUGUGGCGGCUAAGCGUUUAUAGUGAUGUCGCUUUUUGCUCCUUCAAUGUCAGCUCUUCCUAUCAUUGUGAAGCAAAAUUCACCAAGCUUUGGAUUUUUCACCCAAUAAUAAGGAAUGUGAGCUGAGUUUAGACUGUCGUGAGACAGGUUAAUUUUACCUUACUGACGAUGUGUUGUUGCAAUAUUAAUCUUGCUCAGUACGAGAGGAACCUCAGGUUCCGACAUUUGGUGUAUCUGCUUGGCUGAGUAGCCAAUGGGGUGAAGCUACCAUCUGGUGGAUUAUGACUGAAUGCUUCUAAGUCAGAAUCCUCCCUAAACUGCAAUGAUACCACAGCACUGUGGAGCCUCAGUUGGCCUAGGAUAGCCAGACUCUGGGCUGGUGCAUAGAGACGCUUGCCUGCGGACUUGAGUAUGGACAGUAAAAAGGGCCACCUCUCUUGCCGUAGUGAACCACAUGUUCAUGUGGAACCUGGUGCCAAAUCAUUCAUAGACAACCUGAUUCUGGGUCAGGGUUUUGUAAGUAGCAAAGAAGCUACCUCGCUGCGAUCUAUUGAGCCAAGCGUUUGUCAAAAUGCGCUGCGGUGGUG